RNAcentral lists this ribosomal RNA (783 nucleotides) under uncultured eukaryote. RNAcentral describes it as "SSU rRNA". It matches the Rfam family "Eukaryotic small subunit ribosomal RNA", at positions 617 to 1426 of the family's 1831-position model. The record is from RNAcentral.
GGUUAAAGCUCGUAGUUGGAUUUCGGGCGUGGAGGUUCGGUCCGCCGUUUCGGUGUGCACUGUCUUUCUGCGUCUUUCUGUCGGGGACGCGCUUCUGGCCUUAAUUGGCUGGGACGUGGAUUCGACGAGGUUACUUUGAAAAAAUUAGAGUGUUCAAAGCAAGCUAAAGCUCUGAAUACAUUAGCAUGGAAUAACGCGAGAGGACUCGGUCCUUAUUUUGUUGGUCUUCAAGGAUGGAGUAAUGAUUAAGAGGGACAGUUGGGGGCAUUCGUAUUUCAUUGCUAGAGGUGAAAUUCUUGGAUUUAUGAAAGACGAACUUCUGCGAAAGCAUUUGCCAAGGAUGUUUUCAUUGAUCAAGAACGAAAGUUGGGGGCUCGAAGAUGAUCAGAUACCAUCCUAGUCUCAACCAUAAACGAUGCCGACUAGGGAUUGGCAGGUGUUACAUCGAUGACUCUGCCAGCACCUUAUGAGAAAUCAAAGUUUUUGGGUUCCGGGGGGAGUAUGGUCGCAAGGCUGAAACUUAAAGGAAUUGACGGAAGGGCACCACCAGGAGUGGAGCCUGCGGCUUAAUUUGACUCAACACGGGGAAACUUACCAGGUCCAGACAUAGUAAGGAUUGACAGAUUGAGAGCUCUUUCUUGAUUCUAUGGGUGGUGGUGCAUGGCCGUUCUUAGUUGGUGGAGUGAUUUGUCUGGUUAAUUCCGUUAACGAGCGAGACCUCAGCCUGCUAAGUAGUCCGACUAUGGUUUUCCAUGGCUGCUGACUUCUUAGAGGGACUAUUGG